This 460-nucleotide ribosomal RNA is filed under the name uncultured bacterium. RNAcentral's name for it is "partial 16S ribosomal RNA". It matches the Rfam family "Bacterial small subunit ribosomal RNA", at positions 338 to 795 of the family's 1533-position model. The record is from RNAcentral.
CCUACGUGGGACAGCAGUGAGGAAUAUUGGUCAAUGGACGAGAGUCUGAACCAGCCAAGUAGCGUGAAGGAUGACUGCCCUAUGGGUUGUAAACUUCUUUUAUCUGGGAAUAAAACGUUCCACGUGUGGGAUUUUGUAAGUACCCUAAGAAAAAGGAUCGGCUAACUCCGUGCCAGCAGCCGCGGUAAUACGGAGGAUACGAGCGUUAUCCGGAUUUAUUGGGUUUAAAGGGUUCGUAGGUGGAUGGUUAAGUCAGUUGUGAAAAUUUGCGGCUCAACCGUAAAAUUGCCGUUGAAACUGGCAGUCUUGAGUGCAGUAGAGGUGUGCGGAAUGCGUGGUGUAGCGGUGAAAUGCUUAGAUAUCACGAAGAACUCCGAUUGCGAAGGCAGUUCACUGGACUGCAACUGACACUGAGGCUCGAAAGUGUGGGUAUCGAACAGGAUUAGAUACCCGAGUAGUC